Molecule: ribosomal RNA, 319 nt
Filed under: uncultured bacterium
Lineage: Bacteria
Description: bacterial SSU rRNA
Rfam family: Bacterial small subunit ribosomal RNA
Source: RNAcentral
GAUGAACGCUAGCGGCAGGCUUAACACAUGCAAGUCGAGGGGCAGCAUGAGACAGAGAUUCGUCGAAGUCUUGAUGGCGACCGGCGCAAGGGGUGCGUAACGCGUGAGCAACUUGCCCGUUUCAGGGGGAUAACCGGUGGAAACGCCGACUAAUACUCCAUAGUAUUGCGAUAAAGCAUCUUUUUGCAAUUAAAGAAUUUCGGAAACGGAUAGGCUCGCGUGACAUUAGCUAGAUGGUGAGGUAACGGCUCACCAUGGCGACGAUGUCUAGGGGUUCUGAGAGGAAGGUCCCCCACACUGGAACUGAGACACGGUCCAG